GAUCCUGGCUCAGGAUGAACGCUGGCGGCGUGCAUAACACAUUCAAGUCGAACGGGGCAGCAAUGCCUAGUGGCGGACGGGUGAGUAACGCGUGAGCAACCUGCCCUUGCGUGGGGGAUACCAUCUGGAAACGGAUGUUAAUACCGCAUAAAGUACAGGCGACCGCAUGGUCGUAGUACCAAAGAUUUAUUGCGCAAGGAUGGGCUCGCGUCCCAUUAGAUAGUUGGCGAGGUAACGGCCC
RNAcentral lists this ribosomal RNA (241 nucleotides) under uncultured bacterium. RNAcentral describes it as "partial 16S ribosomal RNA". It matches the Rfam family "Bacterial small subunit ribosomal RNA", at positions 15 to 266 of the family's 1533-position model. The record is from RNAcentral.